GACGAACGCUGGCGGCGUGCCUAAUACAUGCAAGUAGAACGCUGAAGAGAGGAGCUUGCUCUUCUUGGAUGAGUUGCGAACGGGUGAGUAACGCGUAGGUAACCUGCCUUGUAGCGGGGGAUAACUAUUGGAAACGAUAGCUAAUACCGCAUAACAAUGGAUGACACAUGUCAUUUAUUUGAAAGGGGCAAUUGCUCCACUACAAGAUGGACCUGCGUUGUAUUAGCUAGUAGGUGAGGUAACGGCUCACCUAGGCGACGAUACAUAGCCGACCUGAGAGGGUGAUCGGCCACACUGGGACUGAGACACGGCCCAGACUCCUACGGGAGGCAGCAGUAGGGAAUCUUCGGCAAUGGGGGCAACCCUGACCGAGCAACGCCGCGUGAGUGAAGAAGGUUUUCGGAUCGUAAAGCUCUGUUGUAAGUCAAGAACGAGUGUGAGAGUGGAAAGUUCACACUGUGACGGUAGCUUACCAGAAAGGGACGGCUAACUACGUGCCAGCAGCCGCGGUAAUACGUAGGUCCCGAGCGUUGUCCGGAUUUAUUGGGCGUAAAGCGAGCGCAGGCGGUUUGAUAAGUCUGAAGUUAAAGGCUGUGGCUCAACCAUAGUUCGCUUUGGAAACUGUCAAACUUGAGUGCAGAAGGGGAGAGUGGAAUUCCAUGUGUAGCGGUGAAAUGCGUAGAUAUAUGGAGGAACACCGGUGGCGAAAGCGGCUCUCUGGUCUGUAACUGACGCUGAGGCUCGAAAGCGUGGGGAGCGAACAGGAUUAGAUACCCUGGUAGUCCACGCCGUAAACGAUGAGUGCUAGGUGUUGGAUCCUUUCCGGGAUUCAGUGCCGCAGCUAACGCAUUAAGCACUCCGCCUGGGGAGUACGACCGCGAGGUUGAAACUCAAAGGAAUUGACGGGGGCCCGCACAAGCGGUGGAGCAUGUGGUUUAAUUCGAAGCAACGCGAAGAACCUUACCAGGUCUUGACAUCCCGAUGCUAUUUCUAGAGAUAGAAAGUUACUUCGGUACAUCGGUGACAGGUGGUGCGUGGUUGUCGUCAGCUCGUGUCGUGAGAUGUUGGGUUAAGUCCCGCAACGAGCGCAACCCCUAUUGUUAGUUGCCAUCAUUCAGUUGGGCACUCUAGCGAGACUGCCGGUAAUAAACCGGAGGAAGGUGGGGAUGACGUCAAAUCAUCAUGCCCCUUAUGACCUGGGCUACACACGUGCUACAAUGGUUGGUACAACGAGUUGCGAGUCGGUGACGGCAAGCUAAUCUCUUAAAGCCAAUCUCAGUUCGGAUUGUAGGCUGCAACUCGCCUACAUGAAGUCGGAAUCGCUAGUAAUCGCGGAUCAGCACGCCGCGGUGAAUACGUUCCCGGGCCU
RNAcentral lists this ribosomal RNA (1369 nucleotides) under uncultured bacterium. RNAcentral's name for it is "bacterial SSU rRNA". It matches the Rfam family "Bacterial small subunit ribosomal RNA", at positions 28 to 1381 of the family's 1533-position model. The record is from RNAcentral.